This 1221-nucleotide long non-coding RNA is filed under the name Homo sapiens (human). RNAcentral describes it as "HSALNT0020713". The record is from RNAcentral. Lineage: Eukaryota; Metazoa; Chordata; Mammalia; Primates; Hominidae.
GACAACUACCAAGGCUGAUAGGCCAAGGGAGGACAUAGAGGGGGUCAGGAUAGCUCUUGAUGCAGCCAAAAAGGUCCUAGGAACCAUUGGGCCACCAGCUCUGGUCUCAGAAACUUUGGCCUGGGAAAUCCUCCCACAAGCAACGCCAGUUUCUAAGCAACAAUCUCAGGGUUCCAUUGGAGAAACAACUCCAGCUGCAGGCAUGUGGACCUUGGGAACUCCAGCUGCAGAUGUGUGGAUCUUGGGAACUCCAGCUGCAGAUGUGUGGACCAGCAUGGAGGCAGCAUCUGGGGAAGGAAGCGCUGCAGGGGACCUAGAUGCUGCCACUGGAGACAGAGGUCCCCAAGCAACACUGAGCCAGACCCCGGCAGUAGGACCCUGGGGACCCCCUGUACUUUUCCAGAAGAUGAAAGCAGCUCUCGGACCCUGGCUCCUGUCUCUACCAUGCUGGCCCUGUUUAUGCUUAUGGCUCUGGUUCUAUUGCAAAGGAAGCUCUGGAGAAGGAGGACCUCUCAGGAGGCAGAAAGGGUCACCUUAAUUCAGAUGACACAUUUUCUGGAAGUGAACCCCCAAGCAGACCAGCUGCCCCAUGUGGAAAGAAAGAUGCUCCAGGAUGACUCUCUUCCUGCUGGGGCCAGCCUGACUGCCCCAGAGAGAAAUCCAGGACCCUGAGGGACAGAGAGAUGAACUGCUCAGUUACCAUGGGAGAAGGACCAAGAUCAAAGGCCUUCAGGACCCCAGCCUCUUUCCAUCAUCCUUCCUCCACCUGUGGGAAGAGAAGCUGAUGCAGCCGGUGCUCCACCCAUGGAAGAAAGGCUGGCUGUCCUUGGGCCCAAGAAAGUCAAGCAUUAUCCACGUCCAAAGGUGACAAGAUGACUCAAAGGAGACUUCAAGAACAGUGUAUGAAACACUGGAAGAGGUCACCUAGGAAAAGCAUGAAAUUUCCAUUCCUGAAUGUUUGAAAAUAGAAGAGGCUUCCAAUCAGUGUGGAAAGUGACAAAUCCCCUAUCAACACUCCCAGCCCUUGCUGGGGGCUCCUUUUCUGACUACUGUUAGCACUCAGCCUCCCAUUCACAUGUAUUAUAUUUAAGUGUACCAGCCUUGCCUUCUCAAGUAGAUUCUAAGCUCCUUUAAGGCAGUAAUUGCAUUUUAUCUGUCUCAUGAUGCCCCCAGAGAACUUCCAACUCAGUAGGACCCCAAUAAAUACCUGUGUCUGAUUGA